This 612-nucleotide long non-coding RNA is filed under the name Trifolium pratense (red clover). RNAcentral's name for it is "long non-coding RNA (TPRA_LNC002594)". Lineage: Eukaryota; Viridiplantae; Streptophyta; Magnoliopsida; Fabales; Fabaceae. The record is from RNAcentral.
UAAACGAGCAACAUUACUAGAAAUAGUUCUACAAGUAUUCCAGAAUUAAUGAAUAUACAGAAAAAAAUAAUUUAAAAAAGAAUAAAAAAGAAAGAAGAGUACCUGAAUCGAAGAAGGUUUGACAAUAGUGAAAGAGAAAGACAAGCUUCGAUUCGUGAGAGUAGAGGCCGGAAAAAGAAGGACAAUAGUGAGAGCGGAGAGAAUUUUCAAUUUGUUUCCCUUAUAGCUUCGAUUUGGAGUUAGGGUUCAAGUGAGAAGCUUCGAUUUGACGAGUGACAGAGAGAGAGAGAGGACAACUGAGAUAAGGCGGUGGUGGUGAGUUGAUUUUAGGUUGCUGAGGGUUCAAUCGUUGUCGGCGGUAGAGGACGGCGCUGAGGGUUUGUUCAUCGCGAGUUGAUUUGGGUCGAGNNNNNNNCUACCUCAUUCACUUAUUGGUUCCAAAAAUAUUAAUUUUUUUUUUUAUUCAACCUGACUUUUUACAUCUGUGGCUAAAUAUGGCCAGAUAUAUAUAUAUUUUAGAUAAUUUUCAUCAUAAUUACAAGAUUGUCACCGCGUUCAGUUAUGUUUCUGGUACAUUGAAACCAGAUGUAAAAAGUCUUGUCUAUAUAUUUU